Molecule: long non-coding RNA, 894 nt
Organism: Neolamprologus brichardi
Lineage: Eukaryota; Metazoa; Chordata; Actinopteri; Cichliformes; Cichlidae
Source: RefSeq, a predicted model, not a curated record
UGACAACUACAAAGAAAGUUUGAAAAAACAAACUGUGGCCUUGGAAGGGGUAUUACCACCUUUAUAUAUUUACAAUUACUGUUUCAAAGGAAGCAGCUGAACUUACUUGGCCAUUGGUUGAAAAUAUGAAGGCCAGAACAUGCUGCAGUUCCACAUGAGGAAAGUGCAGGGCUGCAGGAUGAUUAACAAGAUGGGAGCAGGAAAAUGCUGAUAUCCUACACAACAAUUAAAAAAUGUUGCUUUUCCUGAUGAAUUAUUGACUUCGUCUUCUAUGCAAAGUGAUUCAGAAAACAAAACUAAAGAUCUCUUGGAACUGCUGGUCGGGAACCACCAAACUAGAAGAUUUAAUAAACCUGUGCUUGUAGCUGCCCUGCAGGCCUUGUGCUCGGACCUCAAACACUAAGAUGAUUGAUCAACAUCCUCUACUGCUUGGUCUGCUUCAGCUUCUCGAUGUGAUGACAGAGCUUUAGCGCAGGGCCCAGCUUCAGACCCAUGUACUUCAUAAUGACGUCACUGCGCAGCAGCAUCAGUGCCUUCCCAUCAAUCUCCUGUAGGGAUAAGAGGAUGUUUUCAGCUUGUUCCACAUGCGGCCCGAGAGUGUGGGGAUCGGCUUCUUGGACAAACCGUAUGACAUCAUCAACCGACCAGGAGGAAGCGCUGUUUCCGGAAGCAUCUUUGUCCUGUUUCAUGUGGUCUGGACCUGUUGUUGAGCUAGCUGCUGCGAAGUAUGAGGGCAAAAGGAAGGAAAAACAAAUGAAGAAUUAUCAGAAAGGAAAGAAAUGAUCCCUGCAAUAAUUUGAUGUUAGGGUGAGCUGUUAACACGGCCUUGAUAUUUGUCUCAAAAUUUGUAAAAAAAAAAUAAAAAUAAAAAUUGGGUUCACAAUAAAAGUAAAA